RNAcentral lists this transfer RNA (89 nucleotides) under Cordylochernes scorpioides. RNAcentral describes it as "tRNA-Glu". Lineage: Eukaryota; Metazoa; Arthropoda; Arachnida; Pseudoscorpiones; Chernetidae. The record is from RNAcentral.
UGCCCAAUGCGGGAAUCGAACCCGGGUCGUAGUGGUCGAAAACCAAUGGUUUAGACCAUCCUUCCACCAAGCCCCUAAUCUAUCUAAGC